CGCCAACGCCGUCACGAUAGAACAAAAUCUUCUCUGGGAUAGACUGAGUAUGUUUGGCGAAGUUCAUGACGCACUUCACAAUACCCAUGGCUAUGAAGUUUGAGAGUUCUUCGCCGUCCUUAUGAGCAGACACGGUGCUAUAGGUCAUGACACACGUCAUAUCCACAGAUCAUUAGCCCUUUAACAGGAAUGUUGAUUGCCCACGGAGCACCACCCAGCUUGCAAUUAAUUUGCACAACCACCUAAAUAAAAGUAAUGUUAAAAUUAAAACAUUAAGUUAGUUUUGGUUAGUUAACUGAGAUUCAUUUUGAUUUCAAAUUUCGUAACGUGUUGUAAUAAAAUAUUAAAUCCAAAA
This is a long non-coding RNA of Dalotia coriaria, 355 nucleotides long. RefSeq lists it as uncharacterized. Lineage: Eukaryota; Metazoa; Arthropoda; Insecta; Coleoptera; Staphylinidae. The record is from RefSeq and is a predicted model, not a curated record. The transcript has 2 exons.